Molecule: transfer RNA, 29 nt
Filed under: Dichondra brachypoda
Lineage: Eukaryota; Viridiplantae; Streptophyta; Magnoliopsida; Solanales; Convolvulaceae
Description: partial tRNA-Phe
Source: RNAcentral
CCGGGAUAGCUCAGCUGGUAGAGCAGAGG